CCUACGGGAGGCAGCAGUGGGGGAUAUUGCACAAUGGGGGGAACCCUGAUGCAGCGACGCCGCGUGGGCGAUGGAGUGCUUCGGCAUGUAAAGCCCUAUCAGCAGGGAAGAAAAUGACGGUACCUGCCUAAGAAGCCCCGGCUAAAUACGUGCCAGCAGCCGCGGUAAAACGUAUGGGGCAAGCGUUAUCCGGAUUUACUGGGUGUAAAGGGAGCGUAGGCGGCCGGGCAAGCCUGAUGUGAAAUACCGGGGCUCAACCCCGAGGC
This 266-nucleotide ribosomal RNA is filed under the name uncultured bacterium. RNAcentral describes it as "partial 16S ribosomal RNA". It matches the Rfam family "Bacterial small subunit ribosomal RNA", at positions 338 to 621 of the family's 1533-position model. The record is from RNAcentral.